UUUGUUUUAAUUAAUUGACUUAUGAAAUUCGGUUUUUUGGUUCGGUUUGGUUUAAACUUCAUGAGACCAAAACUCGAACCAAAAAUCAAAUUUACAAUUCGGUUUGGUCUCAAACCAAACCAAAAACCGAAUUUGAAUAUGGUUCGGUCUGAAAUCGAUUUCGGUUCGAUUUGGUUUUCGGGUUUUUUGGUUCCGGACCAAAUAAUUCCCACCCCUACAACCCACCCUCGCUCUCCACCACCGAUUGUCCCUACAGUUCAGUUGAUGUCUCCAAUUUUCUUCUUUUUCUUCUUUCUUUCUCCCUCUCUGUUUGAUUCAAUAAAAUUGGUUCGACUCUUCAAAAAAAUCUUCAUUGGGUGUUUCUUCAUUUUGCAUAGCGUAUUGGAUUGAUAAUCGUUGUUAACCUUGAUGCAGAUUUUGGGGUUGGGUUUUAAAGUAUUAACAACGAUUUUGUUUUUUGUAAACCAUAAUUUGAGGUUUAACUUAGGGUAAGUUUGUAAGUUGGAAAAAGAGCAGAAAAUCGAACAUGUAUUGACAUUAGAUUACCAUGGUUGCUUAUUAAGUAUAACAUAAUUUUAUAACCUUGAAUCUCUUUGCAGAUGGAGAUAGAAUUGAAUGAGAUAAAGCGUUAAAGAGACCUUGCAGAAUCACUACUAGAAAUAGGGCAGUUGCUUUAGAUGGCUUUGUGAAGGUGGGCCUGACAAUGUGCACUUGAAAUCAAAUAUGCUUAUGAACAUGUUUGGGAGACUUGAAACUACGGGCUUCACAAUGCCAAACAAUACAAUGGAGAUGUGGUCGGGUCGCCAAUACACACGACCGAGUGUGACCCUGGAAUGAAUGAUUUCGAUGUUGGUAUGAAAGAAUAAACAACUGCUUCUGAGGACAAAGCAGCAGAUGGGAUAGACCUUAAAAAUGAAAAAAAAGGAGAAAUUUACAAAUUUGUUCCCGGUAGACUUCACUGGAAGAGGAGGACUUGGAGAAUGCCAAAUUUAUUUCCUACCUUUGAUGUUGAAUAUUAGGCAACAAAAUUAGAUCCAGGAAACCCGCAGCGGACCAUGUUCUUGCUCAACUGAAAAUACAUUGCUAUUCAAACAUUUUUUCCUCCUGAAUAAUCAAUCAACCAUGUAGUGCAGAGUCACUUUUCUAGUUGUA
This is a long non-coding RNA of Lactuca sativa (garden lettuce), 1152 nucleotides long. RefSeq lists it as uncharacterized. Lineage: Eukaryota; Viridiplantae; Streptophyta; Magnoliopsida; Asterales; Asteraceae. The record is from RefSeq and is a predicted model, not a curated record.